This 234-nucleotide ribosomal RNA is filed under the name uncultured Glomus. RNAcentral describes it as "partial 18S ribosomal RNA". The stretch from base 83 to 234 matches the Rfam family "Eukaryotic small subunit ribosomal RNA", at positions 732 to 886 of the family's 1831-position model. Lineage: Eukaryota; Fungi; Glomeromycota; Glomeromycetes; Glomerales; Glomeraceae. The record is from RNAcentral.
GAUCAAAUUGUCGGUCGUGCUUCGGUACGUACUGGCGUUAUUGGUUCCUCCCUUCUGAAGAACCACGAUGUCAUUAAUUUGGUGUCGCGGGAAUCAGGACUGUUACUUUGAAAAAUUAGAGUGUUUAAAGCAGGCUCGCGCUUGAAUACAUUAGCAUGGAAUAAUGAAAUAGGACGUUUGAUUCUAUUUUGUUGGUUUCUAGGAUCGACGUAAUGAUUAAUAGGGAUAGUUGGG